UUCCGGUUGAUCCUGCCGGAGGCCAUUGCUAUCGGAGUCCGAUUUAGCCAUGCUAGUCGAGCGAGGUUAGCCCUCGCGGCGAACAGCUCAGUAACACGUGGCCAAGCUACCCUGCAGAGGGGAACAGCGUCGGGAAACUGACGGGAAUCCCCCAUACCGGUCUCACGCUGGAAUGCCGAGACCGACAAACGCUCCGGCGCUGCAGGAUGCGGCUGCGGCCGAUUAGGUAGUCGGUGGGGUAACGGCCCACCGAGCCGAUAAUUGGUACGGGGUGUGAGAGCACGAGCCCGGAGACGGAAUCUGAGACAAGAUUCCGGGCCCUACGGGGCGCAGCAGGCGCGAAACCUUUACACUGCACGAACGUGCGAUAAGGGGACUCCGAGUGCGAGGGCAUACAGUCCUCGCUAUUGUGUACCGUAGGGUGGUACACGACCAAGAGCUGGGCAAGACCGGUGCCAGCCGCCGCGGUAAUACCGGCAGCUCGAGUGAUGGCCGAUUUUAUUGGGCCUAAAGCGUCCGUAGCUGGCCCUGCAAGUCCGUCGGGAAAUCCACUCGCCUAACGAGUGGGCGUCCGGCGGAAACUACAGGGCUUGGGACCGGAAGACUUGAGGGGUACGUCUGGGGUAGGAGUGAAAUCCUGUAAUCCUGGACGGACCGCCGAUAGCGAAAGCACCUCAAGACGACGGAUCCGACAGUGAGGGACGAAAGCUAGGGUCUCGAACCGGAUUAGAUACCCGGGUAGUCCUAGCUGUAAACGAUGUUCGCUAGAUGUGGCACAGGCUACGUGCCUGUGCUGUG
Molecule: ribosomal RNA, 798 nt
Filed under: uncultured archaeon
Lineage: Archaea
Description: bacterial SSU rRNA
Rfam family: Archaeal small subunit ribosomal RNA
Source: RNAcentral